Molecule: ribosomal RNA, 265 nt
Filed under: uncultured bacterium
Lineage: Bacteria
Description: partial 16S ribosomal RNA
Rfam family: Bacterial small subunit ribosomal RNA
Source: RNAcentral
CCGGCGACCGGCGCACGGGUGAGUAACACGUAUGCAACCUGCCCUCUUCAGGGGGACAACCUUCCGAAGGGGAGGCUAAUCCCGCGUAUAUCGGUUUCGGGCAUCCGAGAUCGAGGAAAGAUUCAUCGGAAGAGGAUGGGCAUGCGGCGCAUUAGCUAGACGGCGGGGUAACGGCCCACCGUGGCGACGAUGCGUAGGGGUUCUGAGAGGAAGGUCCCCCACACUGGUACUGAGACACGGACCAGACUCCUACGGAAGGCAGCAG